GAGCCAAAUUGAUUUAAAAUGCUUAAAAUAAGUAUUUUUUUCUCUUUUCACAUGAUCUGCUCAGGGGUGUAUCACAAUUCACAGAUUAUUUGCUUUAAACUGAAAAUGUGAGAUGUUUGCUAAUCUCUUGAAAAAAUGAAGCUUUUAAACAGAAAAGCUGAUGAUGAGGAGGAAAUCCUUUCUGACACUUCCUGUCUGCACACAAACUGGAGCGAAGGUUGCUGCCUACAUUUCCUGUUUCUCUGUUUCUGAUUCUCUCGAUGUGUGUCUGUGGACAAACUGCCAGCUGACCAGUCGGUUCGUUGUGUUGCGAUAUUGGCAUUUCUAUAGAUCUCCAGGAAAUGAACUUGUUUUGUGUGCAUGGUUCCUGAGGCUCACACUUUUGAUCUUCUGGUCUGGACUUCAUUGUCAGAUGCGAGCACUGCAGUCAAAAGUAAAGGCAGCUAUUCUGUUGUGUUUAGGUGAUGUUUGAAUCUACCACUGCAACAUCAACAGUCAGGGUGUGAUCUGUCUGGACAUCCUGAAGGACAACUGGAGCCCGGUGCUCACCAUCUCCAAAGUGCUGCUGUCCAUCUGCUCUCUACUCACAGACUGUAACCCAGGUAAGACAUGGCUCUGGCUCGUCUGAGAUGUUGGUAGGUGCUUGUUAGCUGGUCGUGGGCUGGAGCUCCAGUGUUUGUCAGUAUGUUGGAGCUCCAGCUGUUUGACCGAGACGACAGCAGAGCAGUUACAGGUGUGGGCAUCGAUACAGCCGCCUCAUGCUCAUGUAUGAAACUGCACACAUCACUUGUUCCUAAUGUCUGAGCCGUCUGUGUGAUUCUAAGUAAAUAUUCUAUUAGUUUUAUUUUAGGUAAAGGGAAUAAAGGCAUGGCUUUUACAGAAAACACGCAUUGGUUCUUUGAAACCUUUAAGUAAAAAGCCCUAAAACUUUUUUGUUUAAAUCUGAGGCGUUAGUGAUUACUUUCUAGUGCACGCACAUGACUACAGUGCAAAAAUGUAUCACUGGUAAUCCCAGAGUGCAUUGUGGGGGGGCUUGUCGUUUUUUUUUUUUUUUUUUUAAGCCCAGAUCUUGAUGCAUGCAGUGGUCUUUAGUUUCUUACAAUCAAAAUACUGUUUUAUGACCAUGUUAGAAUUACACUGUAUUCACCCAAAAUAUCUGGUUGUCUAACAAAUUAACAGACCUCAAAUUUAAGAAUCUAUAGCAUUGUUUUAAGUGACUUAGUAGAACUUGGUUUUUGAUUUUGUACUACAUGUUGAGCAGGAAGUUCUAAAUGCUCUAUUAAAUAGGGUUUACAGUGCUGUUAGUACUUGUUCAAGCCAUAAAACUCAAGAUUCACUUUCUUUUUUUGGCUACGUUCGCCUGAGCAUGCACUUGUAGUGUAGAGGCUGAUGAAUGCAUCUGUGGCAUUAUGUCUCAGACAUCUCUAAACAUGAGCUCAGUGCUAAUUUUGAUUCCACUAAUGAGCAAGGUCAUCGAGCUACAAAAGAAACUAGCAGUUAUGCAUUCAAAUUAGAUCAAAUUCUCCAUUGAGCUCUUUGGAGCUUCUUUGACCCCUUCCACUUUUUUUUUUUUUUUAACCGCGAAUCGCUAAAUUUCGGGGAAAUGUGGCAUCAUCAUGCUUUGCACAACGCCAUUGUUCCCUUUUUAUCAAGAUAUUUUAGGAAAAAGUUGAGUCUCCAGAUGAAAUCGAGUAAUGCAUCACAAGUACUGUGACUUUAUUUGGGGUCUCUGUGUCAUGAUUUUCCACUUAGCAGAUGCUUUUAUCCAAAGCAACUUAAAAUGAGAAGUAAUAAAACCAACUAAAGAGCCAUUCUAUGUAAGAGCGGUGACAAGUCUUGCUUGGUCUAAUACAGAUGAGCUGAUGAGGCCAUAUGUUGCUGCACUGCUGACAAGUUAUACAAGAAGUAUUUCUGUAAUGACUUUUGUAGUCUGUUAGAGGGUCCUGAAGUCUGUGCCAUGAGUGAAUUUUGCUUUUCUGUAGAUUUAGGAAAUAAAGGCAUGGCGUUUAAACAAAAGAUACUUCGACACACAAGCUCUGAUCAAUGUCAGUUUUGGACUACUGCCUUUCAAAGGCAUUUUAUAACUAACUUCCAGACCCAUAUGUAAAUGUAGUAGUUGGCUUUAUGGCCCUGAAAUACUUAAAUGCCACAGCCUUGUUUCAUUUAACUAAAUCUGGCCAAAACUGAGUUCUUACAGAGUUUUAGUUUAAAGUGGCUUAAGGUCUUUGCUUCUCAUUAAGUUUUUAAAGGCCUUUGUUUUACUUUCAGUGUUCUGCAAUUUUAACCCUUUUAAAAGUCUUUUCUCUAUGGAACAGACAACAGAACUGAAUUGUGGUGCAACUGUUUAAGUGAAGGCAGUUGAAAUUUUUUACAAAAUACUCCUCUGCACUGAUUUAAAAUGGGUAAAAAAAACAAUUCACUACUAAAUGCAUUAAACUUAUCGUUCGCUUUAAAUUUUUUCUUGACCCUGCAUGAGUUACAAGCUGCUGCGUGUGUAUCUGUGCAGGAACGACCAUUAAUUCAAGAUGGCAGCAUCCAUGACCGCACGAGCGUUUGUUUAGAGUCAUAAUUGAAUGUUUGAGUGAAGUUUUAGUUUUUUGUUAUGAAUUUUGAAAUCCGUACCGAUUGCAGAAGAAUUGCAUGGUACUUUUCUGAUUGCUCUCUGUGGUAGAGUUCGUUUGGGCAGCCUACUCCUACUUUGCUUGGGCCUGGAUCGGUGGACUCCUCUGGGCAGUUGUGGGGCAUCGACAGGUGGAAUGCUUCCUUUGAACGGAGCUGUGGAAUUUCCUCGCUGGUGACGGGAGUGGGGUUUUGGCUCUAUGUGGCCCUCUACGGAUCCGCGUGGAACAAUCUUGCACUGCCUUGUUGGGCUAUACAUUACAUUGCUUGUUGUGGUUCUCCCAUUCGUGGAAUUUGAUUGCAACAUCACAGAAUUUUUGGGGGACGUGAAGAGGCGUAUCGCUCCUGAAUGGCGUUUUUAACAGUAGCCUUUUUUGUGCUGAUCGUGGUGGGCUACACCGGAAAUAAAAAGACACCAGUGGUUUGCUCUCAAAAGGUAGGCCUAUGGAUAGACUUUUACAUCUCAUCUGGAGGAACCUCCUCGGAUCUCGUUUUUUCUGAGAAAUUACACCACUUAUUCCUUGUGACUACUGGCUCUGUUCUGUCGGACUAUAAGAACUGCUUUAUUGUCCUAAAUAUCAUUUUUACUAAUGCUUAUGAUUCUCGUUAUAUGCCUCGAAAGGCAGUGCCUUUUUUAUUUUAUUGUUGAUCUUGGGAAAUGUACAUCCUAAUCCUGGCCCUAGUAUUAAUAGCCUUAGUACUCCUGAAGACUUUAAAUCCAGGUCUGGUCUGGGUUUUAUUCACUUAAGUGCUUGUAGUUUGUUGCUAGAAAUGGAUUUGGUCAGGAUAUGGGCUACUCAAAUGCAGAUGUUGUAGUAAUUUCCGAAACCUGGCUAAAAAAAAUCUAUUUUAGAUAAGGACAUUAUGAUUAAUGGCUAGAGUUUUCCGUUGUGAUCGUUUAAAUAAGGGGGGUGGGGUUGCAAUUUAUGUUAAGACUGAAUUUAACACCAGGAUCUUAUUUUCUAAAUCUAUUGUUAAACAAUUUGAGAUCUUAGCAUUAAUAUACUGACCUUUUGGCUGUUUCAAGAUUUAAUGUUAUUGGCUGUUACAGACCCCCUUCUGCGGUUGUUGAUGCUUUGCCAAAUUUAAUGGAAUUUUUAAAUUAACUUGAUUACAUUGACACCGUUUUAGUGGGAGAUUUAAAUUGGGACUGGUUAUCCUCUCUGUGUGAUGAUUUUAAAAAUUACUGUAAUGGUUUAAAUCUUACACCGAUAAUAAAUAGUCCCACUAGAUUUAAUACAAGAAAUCCUAACAAAUCCACUCUUAUUGAUUUGUUUUUGACAAACCCAUCUCACAAAUUUUCAGAUGUAGGGGUGUUCGCAAACGAUUUGAGUGAUCACUGUGUCAUUGCAGCAGUAAGAAAUACAAAACUGCCUAAGACUAAACCUAGAAUAAUUUUAAAAGAAACUUGAGGCACUUUUGUGAGCAAGCAUUUUUGCAUGAUUUGUCUUGUUUUGAGUGGGACAGAAUUGUACUUAUUGACAAGGUGGAGCUAGCGUGGAAAUAUUUUUAUGAAGGUUUUAUUAGUAUUGUGGACAAGCAUGCUCCCUUUCAGAGGUUAAGAGUAAAGGGACGUGACAAUGCGUGGUUUACUCCGGAGCUGGCUAGUCGUCUUCGGCAGAGAAACCAAGCCUGGGCUAAAGCCAGGCAGUCCGGGACAGAUUUAGACUGGCUCAGUUUUAGACAGUUGUGUAAUCGUUGUACAUUUCUUAUUAAGAAGGCAAAAUCAGAUUUUUAUUUAGCAGCUACAAUGAAGAAUCUAAACAGUCCCCGGAUAUUCUGGAAAGUCCUGAAAUCAGGAUGUACCACAAAUUGUCAUAAUGAAUUACCUCCAUGUAUUUUUAAGGAUAAAACCGUCACAU
Molecule: long non-coding RNA, 4481 nt
Organism: Carassius auratus (goldfish)
Lineage: Eukaryota; Metazoa; Chordata; Actinopteri; Cypriniformes; Cyprinidae
Source: Ensembl